This 246-nucleotide unclassified non-coding RNA is filed under the name Hevea brasiliensis (rubber tree). The record is from RNAcentral. Lineage: Eukaryota; Viridiplantae; Streptophyta; Magnoliopsida; Malpighiales; Euphorbiaceae.
AUUUGCACCUAGCACAAGUAUCACGGGUUUUGAUGUAUUGCAUAAUAUCAGCCAACAUACCAGGCCAAAAAAACAUGUCUUUUCAAACUCAUGUGAGUAGCAUGCAACCCUAAAUGUCCCCCAACUGUAGGGCUGUGAUAAAGUGUCAACAAAUUCUGCCUCAAAACUUUAGCAGCCCCCACAUAUAUUCUGUUCUUAUAAAGGAUCAUUCCAAUUUUCAACUUAUAAUCAGGAUGUGUAUUAGGA